CUAAGAUACAGCAGACGAAAACAAAGAUGGCCGACAUUCGAAAAAUUUUCGAAAAUUCUCGAAGACAAGGCCAUCAGCUGUUCGUCCCAUCAGCUGUGCGCCCCAUCAGCUGAUCUCCCUUCCCAUCUCUUUGCUGUUGUUUUUCACAAGAGUUCUGCAAGAAUAAUUUGAAUUUCAAAGCUGUUGUUCAAGUCUUUUACUAAUUGACUACUUUUACUAAACCACUACUUCCCCACUAUUUCUACGUUGACGGGAGCAAAAAGUGCGAAUUUCGGACCAGAAAUGGAACUUUCCUUAUACAUGGACGACGCACAGAACCAUCACAGAUUCACGAUACUCCCCCAAAACCAGUAACUGCAGCGGUGUAUUUCGAAGAGAUAUUCGGAUACAAAUUCAAGGACGAGGAGAUGUUACACCAGGCCCUAAAACGACCGACGGCCAGCCUUAAAAGCUCAGUCAAGAAGGGAGACAGAUUGGAGUUAGUUGGAGAUGCUGUACUAGACUUAAUUAUGAUCGAGGAGUGCUUCGAGCGGCAUGAAAACUACGGAG
This is a long non-coding RNA of Daphnia pulicaria, 549 nucleotides long. RefSeq lists it as uncharacterized. The record is from RefSeq and is a predicted model, not a curated record. The transcript is spliced from 4 exons. NCBI's taxonomy places the organism in Eukaryota, Metazoa, Arthropoda, Branchiopoda, Diplostraca, Daphniidae.